Molecule: long non-coding RNA, 653 nt
Filed under: Nicotiana tabacum (common tobacco)
Lineage: Eukaryota; Viridiplantae; Streptophyta; Magnoliopsida; Solanales; Solanaceae
Description: long non-coding RNA (NTAB_LNC004639)
Source: RNAcentral
UACUGGUGAAACAUAUCUUAGGAAGUGCGUCUCCUAUUGGUGAAACUGAAACUUAGGAAGUGCGUCUCCUACUGGUGAAACUUAUCUUAGGAAGUGCGUCUCCUACUGAUAAAACUUGCUUAGGAAGUGCGUCUCCUACUGGUGAAACUUGCUUAGGAAGUGCGUCUCCUAUUGGUGAAACUUGCUUUAGGAAGUGCGUCUCCUAUUGAUAAAACUUGCUUAGGAAGUGCGUCUCCUACUGGUGAAACUUGCUUAGGAAGUGCGUCUCCUACUGGUGAAACUUGCUUAAGAAGUGCGUCUCCUACUGGUGAAAUAUUUUUAGGAAGUGCGUCUCCUAUUGGUGAAACUGAACCUAGGAAGUGCGUCUCCUAUUGAUGAAACUUGCUUUAGGAAGUGCGUCUCCUAUGGUGAAACUGAACCUAGGAAGUGCGUCUCCUAUGGUAAAACUGAACUUAGGAGGAAAUGCAUCUCCUAUGGGUAAAGACGUGGAAUGUAUGCCUCUAUUAUCUGGGCGGGCUCCCAAUUUCAACACUUGAAAUAAAAGACUGAAUGUAUGCCUCUGUUAUCUGGGCGGGCUCCCAAUUUCAACACUUAAAAUUAAAGACUGAAUGUAUUCCUCUGUUAUUAUGGGCGGGCUCCCAAUUUCAACACUU